RNAcentral lists this ribosomal RNA (253 nucleotides) under uncultured bacterium. RNAcentral's name for it is "partial 16S ribosomal RNA". It matches the Rfam family "Bacterial small subunit ribosomal RNA", at positions 524 to 776 of the family's 1533-position model. The record is from RNAcentral.
UACGAAGGGGGCUAGCGUUGCUCGGAUUUACUGGGCGUAAAGGGCGCGUAGGCGGACAGUUAAGUCGGGGGUGAAAGCCCGGGGCUCAACCUCGGAAUUGCCUUCGAUACUGGCUGUCUUGAGUGUGAGAGAGGUGUGUGGAACUCCGAGUGUAGAGGUGAAAUUCGUAGAUAUUCGGAAGAACACCAGUGGCGAAGGCGACACACUGGCUCACUACUGACGCUGAGGCGCGAAAGCGUGGGGAGCAAACCGG